Molecule: ribosomal RNA, 423 nt
Filed under: uncultured rumen bacterium
Lineage: Bacteria
Description: bacterial SSU rRNA
Rfam family: Bacterial small subunit ribosomal RNA
Source: RNAcentral
GUGGGGAAUAUUGCACAAUGGGGGAAACCCUGAUGCAGCAACGCCACGUGUGGGAAGAAGCAUUUCGGUGUGUAAACCACUGUCAUGAGGGAAUAAGGCCCGUUUUAGGACGGGAUUGAAUGUACCUUGAGAGGAAGCACCGGCAAACUUCGUGCCAGCAGCCGCGGUAAUACGAGGGGUGCAAGCGUUGUUCGGAAUUACUGGGCGUAAAGGGAGCGUAGGCGGAGAUUCAAGCGGAUUGUACAAUCCCGGGGCCCAACCCCGGCUCUGCAGUCCGAACUGGAUCUCUUGGAUAGUUCAGGGGCAGGCGGAAUUCCUGGUGUAGCGGUGGAAUGCGUAGAGAUCAGGAAGAACACCGAUGGCGAAGGCAGCCUGCUGGGGACUCAUCGACGCUGAGGCUCGAAAGUGCGGGUAGCAAACAGG